GACGAACGCUGGCGGCGUGCUUAACACAUGCAAGUCGAACGGAAAGGCCCUGCUUUUGUGGGGGGCUCGAGGGGCGAACGGGUGAAUAACACGUGAGUAACCUGCCCUUGACUUUGGGAUAACUUCAGGAAGCUGGGGCUAAUACCGGAAAGGAGCUCCUGCUGCAUGGUGGGGGGUGGAAAGUUUCGGCGGUUGGGGAUGGACUCGGGGCUUAUCAGCUUGUUGGUGGGGUAGUGGCUUACCAAGGCUUUGACGGGGAGCCGGCCUGAGAGGGUGACCGGCCACAUUGGGACUGAGACACCGCCCAGACGCCUACGGGAGGCAGGAGUGGGGAAUAUUGCACAAUGGGCGGAAGCCUGAUGCAGCAACGCCGCGUGCGGGAUGACGGCCUUCGGGUUGUAAACCGCUUUCGCCUGUGACGAAGCGUGAGUGACGGUAAUGGGUAAAGAAGCACCGGCUAACUACGUG
Molecule: ribosomal RNA, 468 nt
Filed under: uncultured bacterium
Lineage: Bacteria
Description: partial 16S ribosomal RNA
Rfam family: Bacterial small subunit ribosomal RNA
Source: RNAcentral